RNAcentral lists this ribosomal RNA (487 nucleotides) under uncultured bacterium. Its description in RNAcentral is "bacterial SSU rRNA". It matches the Rfam family "Bacterial small subunit ribosomal RNA", at positions 8 to 507 of the family's 1533-position model. The record is from RNAcentral.
AGAGUUUGAUCAGUGGCUCAGGACGAACGCUGGCGGCGUGCUUAACACAUGCAAGUCGAACGGAAAGGCCCAGCUUGCUGGGUACUCGAGUGGCGAACGGGUGAGUAACACGUGGGUGAUCUGCCCCAAACUUCGGGAUAAGCCUGGGAAACUGGGUCUAAUACCGGAUAUGACCUGCUCCUGCAUGGGGGUUGGUGGAAAGCUUUUGCGGUUUGGGAUGGGCCCGCGGCCUAUCAGCUUGUUGGUGGGGUAAUGGCCUACCAAGGCGACGACGGGUAGCCGACCUGAGAGGGUGAUCGGCCACACUGGGACUGAGACACGGCCCAGACUCCUACGGGAGGCAGCAGUGGGGAAUAUUGCACAAUGGGCGCAAGCCUGAUGCAGCGACGCCGCGUGAGGGAUGACGGCCUUCGGGUUGUAAACCUCUUUCGCCAGGGACGAAGCGCAAGUGACGGUACCUGGAGAAGAAGCACCGGCCAACUACGUG